GGCGUCCUACGGGAGGCAGCAGUGGGGGAUAUUGCACAAUGGGGGGAACCCUGAUGCAGCGACGCCGCGUGGGUGAAGAAGCGCCUCGGCGCGUAAAGCCCUGUCAGCAGGGAAGAAAAUGACGGUACCUGAAGAAGAAGCCCCGGCUAACUACGUGCCAGCAGCCGCGGUAAUACGUAGGGGGCAAGCGUUAUCCGGAUUUACUGGGUGUAAAGGGAGCGUAGACGGCAGCACAAGUCUGGAGUGAAAUCCCGGGGCUUAACCCCGGAACUGCUUUGGAAACUGUGCGGCUGGAGUGCAGGAGG
Molecule: ribosomal RNA, 305 nt
Filed under: uncultured bacterium
Lineage: Bacteria
Description: bacterial SSU rRNA
Rfam family: Bacterial small subunit ribosomal RNA
Source: RNAcentral